This 455-nucleotide long non-coding RNA is filed under the name Ursus americanus (American black bear). RNAcentral describes it as "lncRNA (ENSUAMG00000009677.1)". Lineage: Eukaryota; Metazoa; Chordata; Mammalia; Carnivora; Ursidae. The record is from RNAcentral.
UCACUGUAUCCUUUUUAUUUUUCAGUAUGUGCAACGUAUAGAGAAACAAUUUCUUUUGUAUGCCUACUGGAUAGGCUUAGGAAUUUUGUCUUCUGUUGGGCUUGGAACAGGGCUGCACACCUUCCUCCUUUAUCUGGGUCCACAUAUAGCUUCAGUUACAUUAGCUGCUUAUGAAUGCAAUUCAGUUAAUUUCCCCGAACCACCCUAUCCUGAUCAGAUUAUUUGUCCAGAUGAAGAGGGCAUUGAAGGAACCAUUUCUUUGUGGAGCAUCAUCUCAAAAGUUAGGAUUGAGGCCUGCAUGUGGGGUAUCGGUACAGCAAUUGGAGAGCUACCUCCAUAUUUCAUGGCCAGGGCAGCUCGCCUCUCAGGUGCUGAACCAGAUGAUGAAGAAUAUCAGGAGUUCGAAGAAAUGCUGGAACACGCAGAGACUGCACAGGUAAGAACAUUAGGAAAAA